This 88-nucleotide transfer RNA is filed under the name Ruminococcus sp. RNAcentral describes it as "tRNA-Leu". It matches the Rfam family "tRNA". From Rfam's summary of the family: Transfer RNA (tRNA) molecules are approximately 80 nucleotides in length. Lineage: Bacteria; Bacillati; Bacillota; Clostridia; Eubacteriales; Oscillospiraceae. RNAcentral also lists the same sequence under 8 other names. The record is from RNAcentral.
GCUGGUGUGGCGGAAUAGGCAGACGCAAGGGACUUAAAAUCCCUCGGUAGUUAAUACCGUACCGGUUCAAGUCCGGUCACCAGCACCA